Molecule: long non-coding RNA, 382 nt
Organism: Xenopus tropicalis (tropical clawed frog)
Lineage: Eukaryota; Metazoa; Chordata; Amphibia; Anura; Pipidae
Exons: 4
Source: RefSeq, a predicted model, not a curated record
GUUGUAACAGUCAUUUUGCCAGGGCUGGUGAAAUCACUACCCACACUCAUCUCUAAGCAAGCCUAUCCAAGCAUCAUUGACGUAUUUGAUUCAGAUCUUUGAGAGUAUUUGGUGUAUAAAAGGACUUGGCUCUGGUACAUGUGACAGCAUAAAGUUCUGCUGCUAAGUGAAAGCCUGGAAAAGAUAAGAAAAAUGAACAGAAGGACCAUGCCUUCAAUAUGCAGCAGUCAAGAAAAAGUAGAUUUCCACCCAUGCCAAGAAAAAGAAGCAACAUGUAUGUCGCAGAAAAAUCCACUUUAGAACAUUCUGCAUAUGAAAGAGUAACACAGAACUACUUAUUCACAACCCACGCCACACUAUGCCAAUAAAACUGAUAUCAACA